CGGGAAGUGGCUCAGCUUGGUAGAGCACCUGGUUUGGGACCAGGGGGUCGCAGGUUCAAAUCCUGUCUUCCCGACCACGC
Molecule: transfer RNA, 80 nt
Filed under: Bacillus anthracis str. Sterne
Lineage: Bacteria; Bacillati; Bacillota; Bacilli; Caryophanales; Bacillaceae
Also listed under: 3 other names
Description: tRNA-Pro
Rfam family: tRNA
About the family: Transfer RNA (tRNA) molecules are approximately 80 nucleotides in length.
Source: RNAcentral